This is a long non-coding RNA of Micropterus salmoides (largemouth bass), 713 nucleotides long. RefSeq lists it as uncharacterized. The record is from RefSeq and is a predicted model, not a curated record. Lineage: Eukaryota; Metazoa; Chordata; Actinopteri; Centrarchiformes; Centrarchidae. The transcript is spliced from 3 exons.
CUGCUGUAGUUCUACUCCUGCCACUUCUUUCUACCCAUUCUGCCCGGCCUGGAAGAAGAUUCUUCCAAAGUUUUUUUUUCAUUCAGAAUUUAAGGAUAGUUGAGGUUGUCCUUUGAGUGUGGGUGCAUGUGCUUGUAUGUAGAUUUAAAAAAAUGCCACCAUGUGUCUCUUCCCUACAUGCCUCCUAUAGACGGAAGUCCCCUGCUGGCAACAGAUUUCUUUCUCAGUAGUGUUCUUUGACCCUGCCAGUCCCUCUGGUGUCCCAUCUUCUCCUUUAAUCCCUCAUGCUGGAGGGGAGGCAGUGGAGACUCACACUAUAUAAGGAGAAAUAAAACUGUCUCUGUUCUCCAUCAUGGGGCUCCUAAUGAUGCUCCCCCUGAACCACUGACUGAGGAGAAAAUGGCCACAAUCGUGACAGGGAUGGGGGAUAAUACGUUGGACGGAUGAAGCCUCUGAAACAACAGCACGCAUGUUCUUUGACUCCAAAUUAUGUAAAUAAAACAUGAAAGGCCGGGGUAAAAGGUCGAGCUGGAUAUGGAGGUCAGGCAGGGGUCAGAACAUCCCCAGGAGUCAUUACAGGAACAUGGCUGGUCGUGGUGGAAGCUACAGGAGAUGUCCCUUCCUGGAAAACAAAGCAGCUUCUGUUCAGUGAUGGAGGAGUGGAGGUGUAAGCGGGCCUGUAAUGAGAGGCUGAGGUGAGGGGAGGCAGAGAG